AUAAGAGUUUGAUCAUGGCUCAGAUUGAACGCUGGCGGCAGGCCUAACACAUGCAAGUCGAGCGGUAGAGAGAAGCUUGCUUCUCUUGAGAGCGGCGGACGGGUGAGUAAUGCCUAGGAAUCUGCCUGGUAGUGGGGGAUAACUKUUCGGAAACGGACGCUAAUACCGCAUACGUCCUACGGGAGAAAGCAGGGGACCUUCGGGCCUUGCGCUAUCAGAUGAGCCUAGGUCGGAUUAGCUAAUUGGUGGGGUAAUGGCUCACCAAGGCGACGAUCCGUAACUGGUCUGAGAGGAUGAUCAGUCACACUGGAACUGAGACACGGUCCAGACUCCUACGGGAGGCAGCAGUGGGGAAUAUUGGACAAUGGGCGAAAGCCUGAUCCAGCCAUGCCGCGUGUGUGAAGAAGGUCUUCGGAUUGUAAAGCACUUUAAGUUGGGAGGAAGGGUUGUAGAUUAAUACUCUGCAAUUUUGACGUUACCGACAGAAUAAGCACCGGCUAACUCUGUGCCAGCAGCCGCGGUAAUACAGAGGGUGCAAGCGUUAAUCGGAAUUACCGGGCGUAAAGCGCGCGUAGGUGGUUUGUUAAGUUGGAUGUGAAAUCCCCGGGCUCAACCUGGGAACUGCAUUCAAAACUGGCUGACUAGAGUAUAGUAGAGGGUGGUGGAAUUUCCUGUGUAGCGGUGAAAUGCGUAGAUAUAGGAAGGAACACCAGUG
Molecule: ribosomal RNA, 715 nt
Filed under: uncultured bacterium
Lineage: Bacteria
Description: bacterial SSU rRNA
Rfam family: Bacterial small subunit ribosomal RNA
Source: RNAcentral